Molecule: ribosomal RNA, 445 nt
Filed under: Lelenchus leptosoma
Lineage: Eukaryota; Metazoa; Nematoda; Chromadorea; Rhabditida; Ecphyadophoridae
Description: eukaryotic LSU rRNA
Rfam family: Eukaryotic large subunit ribosomal RNA
Source: RNAcentral
CGCUAUCGAUUGUUUAGUUGGGCACUUGCACUCCUCCGAAAUGGUAUCAUCGUUGGACAUUUAUCGCUUGCGAUGUUGUCCAAACGAAGUUAUCAGGAACGUUUGGUGGCUUGUGUCCUUCUCGGUGUAAAGUUGGUCACCUACCCGACCCGUCUUGAAACACGGACCAAGGAGUUUAGCGCAUGCGCGAGUCAUUGGAAAUUCAAAUCCACAGGCGAAAUGAAAGUGAACCAUCGUGUGAUCUUGUUCAUCUCGGUAUUCAGGAGCAGCACAGCCCUGCAGCGACCAUUCAUGGUGCUGCUGAGGCAGAGCGUAUGCGAUGAGACCCGAAAGAUGGUGAACUAUUCCCGAGCAGGAUGAAGCCAGAGGAAACUCCGGUGGAAGUCCGAAGCGGUUCUGACGUGCAAAUCGAUCGUCUGACUUGGGUAUAGGGGCGAAAGACUAA